CCCCUAGACGUUCUGGGCCGCACGCGCGCUACACUGAUGCAUUCAACGAGCCUAUCCUUGACCGACAGGUCCGGGUAAUCUUUGAAUCUGCAUCGUGACGGGGAUAGAUUAUUGCAAUUAUUAAUCUUCAACGAGGAAUGCCUAGUAGGCGCAAGUCAUCAGCUUGCGUCGAUUACGUCCCUGCCCUUUGUACACACCGCCCGUCGCUCCUACCGAUUGGGUGUGCUGGUGAAAUGUUCGGAUCGGCCGUUUGUCGCGGUUUCCGCGGCUCGUGGCUGAGAAGUUCAUUAAACCCUCCCACCUAGAGGAAGGAGAAGUCGUAACA
RNAcentral lists this ribosomal RNA (325 nucleotides) under uncultured eukaryote. Its description in RNAcentral is "partial 18S ribosomal RNA". It matches the Rfam family "Eukaryotic small subunit ribosomal RNA", at positions 1470 to 1796 of the family's 1831-position model. The record is from RNAcentral.